This is a long non-coding RNA of Manacus vitellinus (golden-collared manakin), 324 nucleotides long. RefSeq lists it as uncharacterized. NCBI's taxonomy places the organism in Eukaryota, Metazoa, Chordata, Aves, Passeriformes, Pipridae. The transcript has 3 exons. The record is from RefSeq and is a predicted model, not a curated record.
UACGUUCUAGUGUAAAGGCUCUCCAGCUCAUCAUCACAGUACAGCUGAUUGGUUACAGUCUCAUUACUGGACACAAGAAGGAAGUGCAGAUGGUGAAUGAAAUGACCAACAAAUGAUGUAAAGGGCAAUAUGAAAGCUGAUGUAAAAUGCAACCUAGAAGUUUAAAGGCAAUAAAACAUAAAAUAGGAAUACAAACAAGUUUACUGAUGACACAAAGCUGAAAGGAGUGGCUGAUAUCCCAGAGUGUUGUGCAGCCCUUCAGAAGGACUUCAACAGGUUGAAGAGAUGGGCAGAGAAAAACUGUCUGAAAUUUAACAAAGGCAA